This is a non-coding RNA of Caenorhabditis elegans, 112 nucleotides long. The record is from Ensembl. Lineage: Eukaryota; Metazoa; Nematoda; Chromadorea; Rhabditida; Rhabditidae.
UAAACCUAAGUGUAAGCCUAAGCCUAAGCCUAAGCCUAAACCAAAGCCUAAGUCUAAGAAUAAGCCUAAGCAAAAGCCUGAGACUGCGCCUAAGCCUAAGCCUAAGCCUAAA